CAAAGAGAGAAAAGAGUCGUUUCCUGAUUAAAAAACAUUGUUAUUCAUAUUUCGUAUUGUAUUCAUGUUGAAUACUUCUUUUUCUUCUUCUUCACCCUCUAGGCACUUUCUUCUCUUCUUUCCCAUCGAAACUUUCUUUUGACAUCAACGAAAUAUCCCGUAGGGUUUUUGGCAUUUUUGGAGAAGCAAAUGCGCUCCAAGUGGAGCUCAUUUUCUCCUUAAAAAUUCCAUCCUUCAUUUUUUGGCACCGUUUUAUCCACACACUGUUACCAACCUUGUUUCGUUAAUUUUUUUUGCCACACACCCACGUUUUGUCUAGAAAAGCCCCACUAGGUCCUUCUUCCCAAAAAUGCUCUUGUCAGAUAAUGUUCAUUCACACAAACACAAAAAUUAUAACAUGCUGCUGUUCUUAUCCCCUCCCUAAUGCCCAAUCCCCGGUUCUAUUUUUUUCUUUUCUUUUUUAAAAUUUCUAAUUUUCUUUCUAAUUCUUUUUUGCUGGGUUGUUGUUCUCCACUCUCCUGGCGGGUCCAUCCUCUUUCUUCUUCUUCUCUCUCUCUCCUGAAAAAGUCAUCUUCCUAAAAAUGGUUUCUAGAAGAUUCACUAGAUUUUCUAGAUUCUCCAGAAUUCUUUUUUUUUCUACUCAAAUCGAAAAAUCCUUGUCGAGUCACAAAAAUUCCUCUUGCUUCUCUCUUCUCUCCUUCCCUCCCACGCUCUCUCGUCUCCUCCUUCA
RNAcentral lists this small RNA (730 nucleotides) under Caenorhabditis briggsae. RNAcentral describes it as "sRNA CBG31292". The record is from RNAcentral. Lineage: Eukaryota; Metazoa; Nematoda; Chromadorea; Rhabditida; Rhabditidae.